AGAACUUGUGCUUAUGUCAUAAAACUAUUUGCACUGAGUUGUCCAAGUUUUCUCCACUUGAAGUGAGUUAUCCCACCAAUUCCAAAAAGCUUCUGUAUCAUCAUCUUCAGGGUAUCUCCUGUUGGCUCUCAAGAGCAAGAUAAGAAACCGUGUAACUUGCAGUGAAUCUCAGUGAUGAAGCUAUCCAGCAUGGGAUGAAUUAUCUGCCACUAUCUGAAAAUCACUUGUGUGAGGUGGUCAAAACUUCACCAACUUGAUCUUGACUUCAGACCACUGUAAAUGCAAAGCCAUGGUCAGCAGAUGGACACUAGAGAAAUGGAGAAAAGCUGCAUGAUAGAUCUUCUCAAUUUCUUCAUGCAUCAAGAUGAAAGUCAAGACAGGGGGACAUGGACAUUUUAAAGGAACAUGCUUUUAGCCUGCAGUCUAACCUCCUGUUCUGGUUGUUUCCACUGCCUUUGGCAGUUCACUGGUACAAAAGGAAAUAUUGAUUUAGGGAUCUGUCUUAGCAUUGUAUCUUCCCUAUUAAAUACAGCAGGGAAAUCGAGAAUUCUGAGUAUUGAAUUUCAGAAAGGAUAAAUUUAUCAGCUAUUGCAGCAGACUUUUCCAAAGCAUAGAAAGUACUAUUAAAACAUAAAUGUAAUAUCAGAGCAGUCAUGUAAUUUGAUUGGUUUUCUUCACUACCUUUGCCAUGCUCUCACACUACAGUCAGCAUUUGAGCUCUUUUGGCUCAGAAGAUGCCUACAGCAUGGAAGGAUGAUGUGCACUUCCAGCUGUGCCCAGCUGCUCUCCAGCCAGAAAAGUGCUGUGGGGCAGACCCAUUUUUUCAGAUUUCUACCAGCAACUGGUAUUGGAGGGUAUUGGCUUACUGAUGGUGUGAUGUUCGGACUGUAAGUUUUUAAUUUCACUUCACAGCA
This is a non-coding RNA of Cyanistes caeruleus (blue tit), 914 nucleotides long. Lineage: Eukaryota; Metazoa; Chordata; Aves; Passeriformes; Paridae. The record is from RefSeq and is a predicted model, not a curated record.